AUUGAACGCUGGCGGCAGGCUUAACACAUGCAAGUCGAGCGGUGUGAUGGUGCUUGCACUAUCACUUAGCGGCGGACGGGUGAGUAAUGCUUAGGAAUCUGCCUAUUAGUGGGGGACAACAUCUCGAAAGGGAUGCUAAUACCGCAUACGUCCUACGGGAGAAAGCAGGGGAUCACUUGUGACCUUGCGCUAAUAGAUGAGCCUAAGUCGGAUUAGCUAGUUGGUGGGGUAAAGGCCUACCAAGGUGACGAUCUGUAGCGGGUCUGAGAGGAUGAUCCGCCACACUGGGACUGAGACACGGCCCAGACUCCUACGGGAGGCAGCAGUGGGGAAUAUUGGACAAUGGGGGGAACCCUGAUCCAGCCAUGCCGCGUGUGUGAAGAAGGCCUUAUGGUUGUAAAGCACUUUAAGCGAGGAGGAGGCUCUUUUGGUUAGUACCCAAGAUGAGUGGACGUUACUCGCAGAAUAAGCACCGGCUAACUCUGUGCCAGCCGCCGCCGUAA
RNAcentral lists this ribosomal RNA (503 nucleotides) under uncultured bacterium. RNAcentral describes it as "partial 16S ribosomal RNA". It matches the Rfam family "Bacterial small subunit ribosomal RNA", at positions 30 to 523 of the family's 1533-position model. The record is from RNAcentral.